UACAGAGGUCUCGAGCGUUAGGCGGAAUCACUGGGCUUAAAGCGUGUGUAGGCGGGUCGUUAAGUACCUUGUGAAAUCCCAUGGCUCAACCAUGGAACUGCUGGGUAUACUGGCGAUCUUGUGCAACCUAGGGGCGAGCGGAACAGAUGGUGGAGCGGUGAAAUGCGUAGAUAUCAUCUGGAACGCCAAUGGUGAAAACAGCUCGCUGGGGGUUUGCAGACGCUGAGACACGGAAAAGCCAGGGGAGCGAACGGG
RNAcentral lists this ribosomal RNA (255 nucleotides) under uncultured bacterium. RNAcentral describes it as "partial 16S ribosomal RNA". It matches the Rfam family "Bacterial small subunit ribosomal RNA", at positions 524 to 776 of the family's 1533-position model. The record is from RNAcentral.